UACAGGACGAACGCUGGCGGCGUGCCUAACACAUGCAAGUCGAGCGAGGAGAUCCUCGGGAUGAUCCUAGCGGCGGACGGGUGAGUAACACGUGGGCAACCUGCCUCAUAGAGAGGAAUAGCCUUCCGAAAGGGAGAUUAAUACCUCAUAACAUUGCAGUUUCGCAUGGAACAGCAAUUAAAGGAGUAAUCCGCUAUGAGAUGGGCCCGCGGCGCAUUAGCUAGUUGGUGAGGUAAUGGCUCACCAAGGCGACGAUGCGUAGCCGACCUGAGAGGGUGAUCGGCCACAUUGGGACUGAGACACGGCCCAGACUCCUACGGGAGGCAGCAGUGGGGAAUAUUGCACAAUGGGGGAAACCCUGAUGCCAGCAACGCCGCGUGAGUGAUGACGGCCUUCGGGUUGUAAAGCUCUGUCUUCAGGGACGAUAAUGACGGUACCUGAGGAGGAAGCCACGGCUAACUACGUGCCAGCCGCGGC
RNAcentral lists this ribosomal RNA (477 nucleotides) under uncultured bacterium. Its description in RNAcentral is "bacterial SSU rRNA". It matches the Rfam family "Bacterial small subunit ribosomal RNA", at positions 26 to 518 of the family's 1533-position model. The record is from RNAcentral.